UACAGAGGUCCCGAGCGUUGUUCGGAUUCAUUGGGCGUAAAGGGUGCGUAGGCGGUCUUCUAAGUUUGAUGUGAAAUCCCGGGGCUUAACCCUGGAAUUGCAUUGAAUACUGGAGGACUUGAGUCCCGGAGAGGAAACUGGAAUUUACGGUGUAGCAGUGAAAUGCGUAGAGAUCGUAAGGAAGACCAGUGGCGAAGGCGAGUUUCUGGACGGGUACUGACGCUGAGGCGCGAAGGCCAGGGGAGCAAACGGG
Molecule: ribosomal RNA, 253 nt
Filed under: uncultured bacterium
Lineage: Bacteria
Description: partial 16S ribosomal RNA
Rfam family: Bacterial small subunit ribosomal RNA
Source: RNAcentral